RNAcentral lists this ribosomal RNA (377 nucleotides) under uncultured bacterium. RNAcentral's name for it is "bacterial SSU rRNA". It matches the Rfam family "Bacterial small subunit ribosomal RNA", at positions 523 to 898 of the family's 1533-position model. The record is from RNAcentral.
AUACGUAGGUGGCGAGCGUUAUCCGGAAUUACUGGGUGUAAAGGGCGCGUAGGCGGGGAUGCAAGUCAGAUGUGAAAUACCGGUGCUUAACACCGGGGCUGCAUCUGAAACUGUGUUUCUUGAGUGUCGGAGAGGGAAGCGGAAUUCCCAGUGUAGCGGUGAAAUGCGUAGAGAUUGGGAGGAACACCAGUGGCGAAGGCGGCUUUCUGGACGACAACUGACGCUGAGGCGCGAAAGCGUGGGGAGCAAACAGGAUUAGAUACCCUGGUAGUCCACGCUGUAAACGAUGGAUACUAGGUGUAGGGGGUAUCGACUCCUUCUGUGCCGGAGUUAACACAAUAAGUAUCCCACCUGGGGAGUACGACCGCAAGGUUGAA